UACGAAGGGUGCAAGCGUUACUCGGAAUUACUGGGCGUAAAGGGUGCGUAGGUGGUUGUUUAAGUCUGCUGUGAAAGCCCCGGGCUCAACCUGGGAAUGGCAGUGGAUACUGGACAGCUAGAGUGCGGUAGAGGGUAGUGGAAUUCCCGGUGUAGCAGUGAAAUGCGUAGAGAUCGGGAGGAACACCAGUGGCGAAGGCGGCUACCUGGACCAGCACUGACACUGAAGCACGAAAGCGUGGGGAG
This 245-nucleotide ribosomal RNA is filed under the name uncultured Rudaea sp. Its description in RNAcentral is "partial 16S ribosomal RNA". It matches the Rfam family "Bacterial small subunit ribosomal RNA", at positions 524 to 768 of the family's 1533-position model. Lineage: Bacteria; Pseudomonadati; Pseudomonadota; Gammaproteobacteria; Lysobacterales; Rhodanobacteraceae. The record is from RNAcentral.